GUAAGUAUGGUCAGUGGCUAACCCAAAGCGCCCUUUUCUCUGAAUACAAUGCCCCAGUCGAACCACUGAACAGCUUCCAUGGCUUCCUUUCCCUUUUCUUCUCUCUGCCUCGCCAGAAAUUCCACUCCUUGCACAAGUGCAAUCGGAUCUCGACCUUCCCACAGGUUCAAUUUCACUACCUUCGGAAUCGGAGCGCCGAUCACUAAGAGAAUUAGGUCUUCCGUUUGCAGAGCUGCCUCCCUCGCCGACGAUUUCCGCCAUCCUCUCGAUAAGCAGAAUACAAUGAUUUUGCGGGCAAUUCCAGGGUUGAGCGAGCUGGGGAAGGUGUUAUUAGGAACCGUAACUGAGCAAGUCAUGCUUCUUGAGAACAUAGGAACAUCAAUUCUUCUUUCUGAAAAUCAGCUUUCAGAACUUCAUAAAUUGAUGAUUGAGGCUGCCCAAGUACUUAAUGUAGAGGCUCCAGAUCUAUAUGUCCGUCAAAAUCCUGGGCCAAAUGCUUAUACUUUAGCCAUAAGUGGUAAAAAGCCGUUUGUUGUUGUUCAUACCGGCCUUGUGGAGCUUCUUACACGAAAAGAAUUGCAGGCUGUUUUGGCUCAUGAAUUGGGUCAUCUAAAAUGUGAUCAUGGUGUGUGGCUUACAUUUGCGAAUAUUCUUACCCUGGGAGCUUACACUGUUCCUGGGCUUGGUGGAUUUUUAGCCCAGAACUUAGAAGAACAGUUAUUCCGUUGGCUUCGAGCAGCAGAGCUAACUUGUGAUCGUGCUGCCCUUCUCGUUGCGCAGGAUUCUCAAGUGGUCAUCUCUGUUCUGAUGAAAUUAGCUGGGGGCUGUCCAUCUAUAGCGGAUCAACUGAAUGUGGAUGCAUUUUUGGAGCAGGCUCGCUCUUAUGACAAAGCUUCUUCAAGCCCUAUAGGAUGGUAUAUAAGAAAUGCUCAAACAAGACAACUCUCACAUCCUUUGCCUGUUUUACGAGCACGUGAGAUUGAUGACUGGUCAAAAACUCAAGAAUACAAAAAUCUUUUGAAACGUGGAACAAAGAUCAAUCUUGUUGAAACAACUUAGCUGCCUCGUAUACAGAAUCAGAAAUGUCGACAGUUUUAGUAACUUUUAUAUGAUAAAUGAAGUAUACUCCGUUUGAGAGAAAAUACAGUGUUUGCUGGUUUUUAUUCUGAAUUUUCCUUCAAGAAGGAAGGUACAACAAUAAUACAGGUUUCCUAACUUGUCAAAAUGUAGAAUUCCUGGACACUGUCCUCAGAGCAAACAGGUUUCCUAUAAGAAUCUGCUUGGAGUCUUAGUGCUGCUUGAACUCCAGAUGAAACUCCUGAUAUCAUCUCUACAGCAGCAUUGCCUUGUGGUACAAAGUAAGUGUUUUGAAUUUAUGUAUCUGACUUUCCCAGUGUAGCCCACCAUAUUAUUGGUGAAAAGAAAGGAGUAGGAGCUGAAUCCAGUAGAACUCCUCCCUCAACCUUCAAGAAAAUCCUCUCCGAAUUCGAAUACUCCUUCACUGACUACAAAGUUGGCUGCACCAAAUCAUGAGUACCAAAGGCCAAAUGGUUGGAGUGGUGUCAUUUGCUUGGCUUCCAAUUUCAAGGUUUACAGGCUCUCCAUCUCCCCAGCUGCCCAGAUAAACGCCAUGGACCUCUCAUGAUUCCUGCCUCUAAUGCUGGCUAAAGCUAAACACCGCAUCAGUAUCUGGUGCUGAGAUUUACAAUGGAGCUGUAACAGAACAGUUGUGACCACUUGGUGUCACUUCAAAGCAGGUUCGACAUCAGAGGAGGAGCAGUAUUUCCGGCAGCCGCCUUGAUUGCUUCGAGGAAGAAGAAGGGAACCACAAUAAUGGCAAUGUCACAUGGACAGAAGGGAAGACUUUGACUUGGAGUUUCCAAGACAAACAGCUAGGUGAAAAGGAGAAGUAGAAUGGUGUGAGGUGAGCCGUUGGAUGAAACAGUGGGCCUACAUCGUAGGGUAUGUGGGAUUGAUCGGACGGUAGGCGUAGUUGGAUUGGGUUAAAGAGGAGCUGUCUAGAACUUGAACCUCAUUAUCUGGUCGUAGCAGGCAGAAACUGCAGGGGAUCACAUAUCCAUAUCCACUCCCAUCAAUCAACGUGUUUCUUACCUAAAAAUGGAAGUUUUUUUAUUUAUUACUUUUUUAACUUUUACCUAUUUUAUAUAUGUGACGAUAUCAAGAAAUGUAGAAUAUGUUAAUUAAGAACUAAGAUGAUCGUAUGAGAUAGACUUUAAUCCAAUGUAGAGACAAGGUCGAGUUGGAUGACUUGACUUAGUGUAGAACUAAAAUGCAGAAGAUUGUACAUGCAUGCAUGAGUAGAGUGUGUGAUCGAACAACCUCAUCUAAGGUCCGACGAACCUACAAAGAUGUGCAAAAAAAUGUAUAUGAGCUUAGGUUAUUUUUAAGACUUG
Cucurbita pepo subsp. pepo (vegetable marrow) is the source of this 2414-nucleotide non-coding RNA. NCBI's taxonomy places the organism in Eukaryota, Viridiplantae, Streptophyta, Magnoliopsida, Cucurbitales, Cucurbitaceae. The record is from RefSeq and is a predicted model, not a curated record.